AAAGUUUUAUUUAAGCUUAAAGUUUGAGUCUACUUAUCUUUUACAUGCAUGGCUUUGUUUUUAUAUAGGUUUUUUGCAGUAUUUAACAUUAAUUAUCUGGUUUUUCAGGAAUUAGGAAUAAGUUAGAGUUUUAAUGAAACUUGUGCCAGCAAUUGCGGUUAUACAAGUGAUGCAGUUCAAACUUUUUGGUUUGUAAUUAGUUGAUAAUUUAUAGAUUUAUUUUUUAACUUUUUGGGUGAAAUUUUAAGUUAAAUAAGGUUCUGAAUAUUAUUUAUGAAGUUAUUAAAGUUCAAUUUUAAACUAGGAUUAGAUACCCUAUUAUUUGAAUUGUAAAUUAAUUAUGCCUGAUUAUUAGUAGAUUAUUUUCUUGAAAAUUAAAGAAUUUGGCGGUAUUUUAGUCCAUUCAGAGGAACCUGUCCUAUAAUUGAUAGUCCACGAUUUGUUCUACUUUUUCUUUUAGUUUGUAUAUCGUCGUGUUUGAAUAUUUUAGAAGAAUAUAAAUGUUCAACUUGUUUAAUUAAAGGGGAUGUCAGAUCAAGGUGCAGCUUAUGAAAAAGAGGGAGAUGGGUUACUAUAGAUUGAUUUUUGGUUUAUUGAUUUAGAUAUCUUUAAUAAAUCGGAUUUGAUAGUAAUAUUGUCUGUUUAGUCAAUGUGAUUAAGGCUCUAAAAUAUGUACAUAUUGCCCGUCGCUCUCAUUAAAGUGAGAUAAGUCGUAACAUAGUAGAUGUACUGGAAAGUGUAUCUAGAAAGA
Molecule: non-coding RNA, 751 nt
Filed under: Cryptalaus larvatus
Lineage: Eukaryota; Metazoa; Arthropoda; Insecta; Coleoptera; Elateridae
Source: RNAcentral